GUGAGGAAUUUUCCGCAAUGGGCGAAAGCCUGACGGAGCAAUGCCACGUGAAGGAUGAAGGCCUAUGGGUUGUAAACUUCUUUUCUCAGAAAAGAAUUAUGACGGUAUCUGAGGAAUAAGCAUCGGCUAACUCUGUGCCAGCAGCCGCGGUAAGACAGAGGAUGCAAGCGUUAUCCGGAAUGAUUGGGCGUAAAGCGUCUGUAGGUUGUUUAAAAAGUAUUCUGUCAAAGAUUAGGGCUUAACCCUAGAUAGGCAGAAUAAACUUUUAAGCUAGAGUUUGGUAGAGGCAGAGGGAAUUCCCGGUGGAGCGGUGAAAUGCGUAGAUAUCGGGAGGAACACCAAAGGCGAAGGCACUCUGCUGGGCCAAUACUAACACUGAGAGACGAAAGCGAGGGGAGCAAAUGGGAUUAGAUACCCGAGUAGUCC
RNAcentral lists this ribosomal RNA (426 nucleotides) under uncultured bacterium. RNAcentral's name for it is "bacterial SSU rRNA". It matches the Rfam family "Bacterial small subunit ribosomal RNA", at positions 354 to 796 of the family's 1533-position model. The record is from RNAcentral.